Pan troglodytes (chimpanzee) is the source of this 809-nucleotide long non-coding RNA. RefSeq lists it as uncharacterized. The record is from RefSeq and is a predicted model, not a curated record. The transcript is spliced from 3 exons. NCBI's taxonomy places the organism in Eukaryota, Metazoa, Chordata, Mammalia, Primates, Hominidae.
GGGCUGACGUCACUGCCCUGGCUUGGAGAGGCUGUUGCUGAGCCGGCUCCAACCGGCUGGAAGGCGGGAAGCUGUUUCGCCUGGAGGCUCGCGCGCUUUUUGGAAUUCAGUUAUCAAGCUUUAGAGCCUGGCUACUCACAGUUGAAGCCUGAUUGCAGGUUGAUUUGUACAAAUAGCACAAGAGGACACCAACUCCAUGCAGAUGGCAGCCCAGCAGGUCACACCAGUCCUUCUGUCCUCACACUGGCAGACAGAGGCCUCCUCUCUGGAGUCUUCACAGGGGCCUGAGCUAGAGCUGGAAAUGCAGCUGGAGCUGCAGCCAAAGCUGGGGCUGCAGGGCCUUGAUUUGAGACUUGGCCUUGGUCUUGGGUGAGCAGAGAGACAAGGUUUCGCCACGUUGCCUAGGCUGGUCUCUAAACCCUGAGCUCCGGUGAUUCACCCGCCUCAGCUUCCCAAAGUGCUGGGAUUACAGACAUGAGCCAGUGUGCCGGCCUGUUUUGCUUAAUAUUGAUUGCUUUUAGUUUCAGCUCUCAAUCACAAAAGACAAUCAUGCAGUAGAUAAUUAAGUGUGAUAUGGAUUACUUUGAAACUUAGCAAUGAGAGUCUUUUUUUUUCUUUUUAUACAAAAUUCCUCUAAAAUGGGAAUAUUUUUCACAUAAAAUAAAGGGAAACUUAGAAAAUGUGUCUAAGUAUAAUGGAAGCAUUCAAAUGUUUGUUUUAAGCUUUCUAAUACAUUUAUUUGUACAGAUCAAGACUUACUAAUAUGCUAAAAAGGAACAGUUAAAAUAAACUAUUGUACAUUCUUAAAA